GCCAGUAUAGCUUAGUUGGUAAAGCAAUCCCUUCAUACGGGAGAGAGCGAUGGUUCGAGUCCAUCUAUUGGUA
RNAcentral lists this transfer RNA (73 nucleotides) under Caudoviricetes sp. RNAcentral describes it as "tRNA-Met". It matches the Rfam family "tRNA". From Rfam's summary of the family: Transfer RNA (tRNA) molecules are approximately 80 nucleotides in length. Their secondary structure includes four short double-helical elements and three loops (D, anti-codon, and T loops). Further hydrogen bonds mediate the characteristic L-shaped molecular structure. tRNAs have two regions of fundamental functional importance: the anti-codon, which is responsible for specific mRNA codon recognition, and the 3' end, to which the tRNAs corresponding amino acid is attached (by aminoacyl-tRNA synthetases). tRNAs cope with the degeneracy of the genetic code in two manners: having more than one tRNA (with a specific anti-codon) for a particular amino acid; and 'wobble' base-pairing, i.e. permitting non-standard base-pairing at the 3rd anti-codon position. The record is from RNAcentral. Lineage: Duplodnaviria; Heunggongvirae; Uroviricota; Caudoviricetes.